Molecule: ribosomal RNA, 477 nt
Filed under: Streptococcus sp. oral taxon 058
Lineage: Bacteria; Bacillati; Bacillota; Bacilli; Lactobacillales; Streptococcaceae
Description: bacterial SSU rRNA
Rfam family: Bacterial small subunit ribosomal RNA
Source: RNAcentral
GACGAACGCUGGCGGCGUGCCUAAUACAUGCAAGUAGAACGCUGAAGGAGGAGCUUGCUUCUCUGGAUGAGUUGCGAACGGGUGAGUAACGCGUAGGUAACCUGCCUGGUAGCGGGGGAUAACUAUUGGAAACGAUAGCUAAUACCGCAUAAUAUUGACUAUUGCAUGAUAGUCAAUUAAAAGGUGCAAUUGCAUCACUACCAGAUGGACCUGCGUUGUAUUAGCUAGUUGGUGGGGUAACGGCUCACCAAGGCGACGAUACAUAGCCGACCUGAGAGGGUGAUCGGCCACACUGGGACUGAGACACGGCCCAGACUCCUACGGGAGGCAGCAGUAGGGAAUCUUCGGCAAUGGACGGAAGUCUGACCGAGCAACGCCGCGUGAGUGAAGAAGGUUUUCGGAUCGUAAAGCUCUGUUGUAAGAGAAGAACGAGUGUGAGAGUGGAAAGUUCACACUGUGACGUAUCUACCAGAAAGG